AGCUUUUUUAAAAAAAUGAGUUGAAAAUCUUUUAAGAAAAUAAAAUAAAAAAUAAAUGCUAAAUGUAUGAAGAUGUGAAAAACAUGUUGGAUUUGUGGAAUCGCUAAUGACCACGGUUAAAUGGCGGGAUCCAAAAUUCGGUUAGAUUUCACAACGUCAUAUUAAUUUAGUAUUUAUGUAAAAACUUUAAAAAACUGAGUUGAAAAUCUUUAUAAAAAAAAAAAAUGCUAAAAUAUACAUGAAGAUGUGAAAAACAUGUUGGAUUUGUGGAAUCGCUAAUGACCACGGUUAAAUGACGGGAUCCAAAAUCCAAUUAGAUUUCAUAACGUCAUAUUAAUUUAGCAUUUAUAAAACUUUUU
RNAcentral lists this small RNA (359 nucleotides) under Arabidopsis thaliana (thale cress). Its description in RNAcentral is "ATSL001220". The record is from RNAcentral. Lineage: Eukaryota; Viridiplantae; Streptophyta; Magnoliopsida; Brassicales; Brassicaceae.